Molecule: non-coding RNA, 862 nt
Organism: Paramuricea clavata
Lineage: Eukaryota; Metazoa; Cnidaria; Anthozoa; Malacalcyonacea; Plexauridae
Source: the annotation of a GenBank genome assembly
CUUAUUACAACGAUUUGUGUGGACCCUUAUGCAUGUUCAUUAGCGCAUGUGCAAUUAUCCACUUAUAUAGCGUUCUUCUAUAAUAUAUUUAAGGGCAAAUAUAAAAAGACCUCCCUCUCCAAUUUUUUAAAUUUUAAACUUUUUUUUUAUAUUUUGACAUAAAAUAUAAAAUAUAAACCUCCCGCGUCCUGGUAGUUUUUAAAAUUUAGCGAUGAGAAUCAGGGAAUUUAUUUUAUAUGGUCUAAUAUUACAUUUCCUACAUAAACUCUAAUCAAACAUAUUUUCACCCCAGGAAAUUGCGAAUUUACGUAAUUACAUAGUGUCUGUCUAAAUGAUUUGGAGAAAAACGAACUAACUCGCCUCAUAGCUAACUCGUUAUAAAUACUGUAUAUAUAAGUACAUUAUUUUUCGCGCGAUAAAAAUUAUAACUGAGUCUAAAAUCUAUACAGUUUGACAAAACUUCUAAAUGUAGGUUUUACAAAGUACUAUCGUGGAGUAGAUGAUGGUCAACCUGCAGUUAUCAGAGCGAGAAAAUAAUGUUCAUUCUUUUCAUUAGAUGGAGUAAUCUUGUAUUUGUUGGCAAAUAAAUAAAAUCGAAAGAUGUAGUUUAAUUUGCUUUGCUCCUAAAGUUUUUUUUGCUCUUGAGGUCACCACCAUCUACGCCGACUAAGCCUAAAAAUUCGCCAUAAAAAUAUAUCUUUCUGAAACGCCCAACACGCCUUGAAUUCUCGCCCUUAUAUUCGCUCUAAUAAAACAGAGUUCUAAUAAAACUUAACGCUGUACAAUCUUACUACAGGCGUAACUGGGCGGAGGACUGGCGCUAGUGAAUGCACAUGUGCAACGACGAUUCAUCUGAACAGCG